UGGGGAAUAUUGGACAAUGGGCGAAAGCCUGAUCUAGCCAUGCCGCGUGUGUGAAGAAGGUCUUCGGAUUGUAAAGCACUUUAAGUUGGGAGGAAGGGCAGUAAGCGAAUACCUUGCUGUUUUGACGUUACCGACAGAAUAAGCACCGGCUAACUCUGUGCCAGCAGCCGCGGUAAUACAGAGGGUGCAAGCGUUAAUCGGAAUUACUGGGCGUAAAGCGCGCGUAGGUGGUUCGUUAAGUUGAAUGUGAAAGCCCCGGGCUCAACCUGGGAACUGCAUCCAAAACUGGCGAGCUAGAGUAGGGCAGAGGGUGGUGGAAUUUCCUGUGUAGCGGUGAAAUGCGUAGAUAUAGGAAGGAACACCAGUGGCGAAGGCGACCACCUGGGCUCAUACUGACACUGAGGUGCGAAAGCGUGGGGAGCAAACAGG
Molecule: ribosomal RNA, 429 nt
Filed under: Pseudomonadota bacterium
Lineage: Bacteria; Pseudomonadati; Pseudomonadota
Description: Proteobacteria bacterium partial 16S ribosomal RNA
Rfam family: Bacterial small subunit ribosomal RNA
Source: RNAcentral